Molecule: ribosomal RNA, 343 nt
Filed under: uncultured bacterium
Lineage: Bacteria
Description: bacterial SSU rRNA
Rfam family: Bacterial small subunit ribosomal RNA
Source: RNAcentral
GAUGAACGCUAGCGGGAGGCCUAACACAUGCAAGCCGAGCGGUAUUGUUUCUUCGGAAAUGAGAGAGCGGCGUACGGUGCGGAACACGUGUGCAACCUGCCUUUAUCUGGGGGAUAGCCUUUCGAAGGAAGAUUAAUACUCCAUAAUAUAUUGAACGGCAUCGUUUAAUAUUGAAGACUCCGGCGGAUAGAGAUGGGCACGCGCAAGAUUAGCUAGUUGGUGAGGUAACGGCUCACCAAGGCAAUAGAUCUUUAGGGGGCCGUGAGAGGGUGAUCCCCCACACUGGUACUGAGACACGGACCAGACUCCUACGGGAGGGCAGCAGUGAGGAAUAUUGGUCAAU